This 201-nucleotide long non-coding RNA is filed under the name Gossypium barbadense (sea-island cotton). RNAcentral describes it as "long non-coding RNA (GBAR_LNC019944)". Lineage: Eukaryota; Viridiplantae; Streptophyta; Magnoliopsida; Malvales; Malvaceae. The record is from RNAcentral.
UAACUUUGUUAUAAUAACUUGACCAUUUGUAUACCUAAUCUGAUCCCUGUGGAGACGAUCUCAGUUAUCACUUUAUUAAUUGAUUCGAUGUUUACAUUUGCACAAAUCGCAUAUCAAUUAACACGCGACAAAGGACAUAUGAAAGACUGGAUAGGGCAGUUGGUAAUGAUGCUUGGUUGAGAAAUUUUCUAUAUUGUUCCA